This 600-nucleotide ribosomal RNA is filed under the name Acinetobacter sp. SS49. RNAcentral's name for it is "bacterial SSU rRNA". It matches the Rfam family "Bacterial small subunit ribosomal RNA", at positions 31 to 624 of the family's 1533-position model. Lineage: Bacteria; Pseudomonadati; Pseudomonadota; Gammaproteobacteria; Moraxellales; Moraxellaceae. The record is from RNAcentral.
GAACGCUUGGCGGGGGCGCUUAACACUGCAAGUCGAGCGGGCAAGUAUAGCUUGCUAUACUACCUAGCGGCGGACGGGUGAGUAAUGCUUAGGAAUCUGCCUAUUAGUGGGGGACAACAUUCCGAAAGGAAUGCUAAUACCGCAUACGCCCUACGGGGGAAAGCAGGGGAUCUUCGGACCUUGCGCUAAUAGAUGAGCCUAAGUCAGAUUAGCUAGUUGGUGGGGUAAAGGCCUACCAAGGCGACGAUCUGUAGCGGGUCUGAGAGGAUGAUCCGCCACACUGGGACUGAGACACGGCCCAGACUCCUACGGGAGGCAGCAGUGGGGAAUAUUGGACAAUGGGCGAAAGCCUGAUCCAGCCAUGCCGCGUGUGUGAAGAAGGCCUUUUGGUUGUAAAGCACUUUAAGCGAGGAGGAGGCUACUGGUAUUAAUACUACCGGAUAGUGGACGUUACUCGCAGAAUAUGCACCGGCUAACUCUGUGCCAGCAGCCGCGGUAAUACAGAGGGUGCGAGCGUUAAUCGGAUUUACUGGGCGUAAAGCGUGCGUAGGCGGCUUCUAAGGUCGGAUGUGAAAUCCCUGAGCUUAACUUAGGAAUUGC